This 89-nucleotide transfer RNA is filed under the name Thermoplasmatota archaeon. Its description in RNAcentral is "tRNA-Ser". It matches the Rfam family "tRNA". Rfam says of the family: Transfer RNA (tRNA) molecules are approximately 80 nucleotides in length. Lineage: Archaea; Methanobacteriati; Thermoplasmatota. The record is from RNAcentral.
GCCGAGGUAGCAAAGUCCGGCCUACCGCGCCGGCCUUGAGAGCCGGUUUCCCCUCGUGGGAAGCGAGAGUUCAAAUCUCUCCCUCGGCG